Molecule: non-coding RNA, 72 nt
Organism: Phrynosoma platyrhinos (Desert horned lizard)
Lineage: Eukaryota; Metazoa; Chordata; Lepidosauria; Squamata; Phrynosomatidae
Source: the annotation of a GenBank genome assembly
UCCAGCAUGGCUUAGUGUCUUGCGUGUUGGACUACAACUCUAGAGACCAGGGUUCAAUUCCCUGAUCAGCCA